Molecule: RNA transcript, 1903 nt
Organism: Drosophila subpulchrella
Lineage: Eukaryota; Metazoa; Arthropoda; Insecta; Diptera; Drosophilidae
Exons: 5
Source: RefSeq, a predicted model, not a curated record
AAAGCGUUAGCCGCGUAUUUGUCUCUUGCUCACUCCUAUGGUUAGCUCGCGGUUUUCUUCGAUCUCAGUACGGCAACGUGCUUUUAAUAGCCUCUUCCCACAAUGAUUCAUCCAAUAGUCGGUUAACGGACGAUCCAUAACAACCUCAUACAACAACCCCAUCCGUUCGAAACGGUUAGGAUUCUUGACAAAUGUGAAAUUCCGAUUCCCACAGGGCACAUCCACCAUCUAACAUCCGAUAACAGCUUAUCUGAAGACCUGUUACUUAUCAAACCAAACCUGUUGCUUCUGCGUCUCCCAUUUUCAAAUGUGAAACUCCGAUUCCCCCAGAGCAAAUCCACCAUCUCCCAUCCGAUAACAGCUGAAGCAAUAUAUAUGAAAUUUCGUUAAAGAUGUUUGUUAUGGUGUUUAACGUUUUUUGUUUAAUAUAUAGAUGGAAAUCAUCUGCCUUAGAAUGUUGAAUCUGGAAAGAAUUUAAUUUGUUUAGAUAUAUAGAUAGUGUUGGUAAGGGAGUUUUAGGCUAUGAGUAACAUAUUAACAGAUAUUGUGGAGCCUUGCGGUAUGCCCACGUUAGGGAGGAAGGUAUUGGAGAUUAAUGUUCGGUAGCUCAUGAGUUAGUGAGCAAAAUGAGUUGUAUUAAACUGUCCUUCCUAUUUGUUCUUUUUGUUCACUGCCUCAUAUUUGCUCACUUGCUCUUUUUUGCCCACUUGCUCAGUUUGAUUAUCUUGCCCUUGUUUGUUCACCUGCUCAGUUGUUACGAACUGCUUUUUUCGGUGGCAGUGCCGCUAGCUCAGUCUUUUUCUCAGGGGCAGGUUACCCCUAAUGCCACAGUUCGCAACAUAAGUAUCGAUAACUCCGCGGUUUCACACUACUAAACUAUCGGUCAUCACUAAGAACAAAAACGUAAACAAAGCCAAGUGCUCCCACCCAACCAUGGAGGCCCUCGAGGUGCUGCAGGGCACCACCCAUUCUCUGUCGGAAGGAGCCCCCUCCUCGCGACUACGACGGUUCCAUCUCCCCCACUGGGAAAGCUUACUCACACAUUGUGGGUUUUACAAAGGUUUAAUAAACAUCCCUUUAAGACCGAGACCUGGCCGUCUUCAAUACUUACGCGGUCAAAGCAGAGGAUUGGUUUUGCUGGAAAAAGGGUACAGGCGCCGCGGAAAGUUAUGCUCUACCAGUCACUUAUUGGUAGAGCUCGCAUGGAAACACGGCCCUCAAAUGCAACAUACGCGAUGCGCGUGUGUAUGGUCACCUAAUCCUGAGGAGCUCCAGGGGAAAAGAAGGGACAGGCCAAAAAGGCAAACAAUGAGGACAUAUAAGGCUCUUAGGUCUAACUCCGAUUAAAUUCACAAUUGAAAAGGGAAGUAAAUAUCAAUAUAUAUAUAUAUAAUCAAGGUACACGUGUAUUUCAUUUUUCCUCAAUUUCGACCACUAUUGGGCCGGGCCUGGAGGCGAUGAUAGCCCGGGCGGAAGACUUCUCGCCGGAGGUCAGCAGCGAUACGGGUCUCCAAGGAAGAAAACUGGCACACUACGGUACGGUCGGAGGUUUGGCCGCCCGACAAAAUGACGGUACUUCUCAACGCCGCGAUGCGACGGCUGGAAGUCCCCGAGAUGAGGUGGACGUGGUAGACCGGAACGGACUCACCGGGAAAUGCUUGAUGUCGUCGGCGUUGACAGCGAAAGGAGUUUAUUGCUGGGCGUCUGCGCAGGUCGAAUGGACACCGGUUGCUGGCAGCCAAGUCGGGGCUGGUACGUAUGGCGAAGUCGCGCAGAUAUUAGUGGAAGUCCCAAGUAAAUAUGCCGGGGCCCCUUGUGUUGGGACCCCGGCUGAUUAUUAUUAAAUAACGAACUACCAUGUAACUUUAAUACAGUGGUCGGCACACACAUACCCUCACAAGUU